AUGUUGGCUUAGAAGCAGCCAUCAUUUAAAGAAAGCGUAAUAGCUCACUGGUCGAGUCGGCCUGCGCGGAAGAUGUAACGGGGCUAAACCAUGCACCGAAGCUGCGGCAGCGAACGUAUCACUUAAAGCGAUUCAGCGGGUUACGAUUGACGGAGCGAAGCGACGUCAAAGCGUAUACAAAGUCGAGUCGGUUUAAGGAUACGUUCGUUGGGUAGGGGAGCGUUCUGUAAGCCUGCGAAGGUGGCCUGUGAGGGUUGCUGGAGGUAUCAGAAGUGCGAAUGCUGACAUAAGUAACGAUAAAGCGGGUGAAAAGCCCGCUCGCCGGAAGACCAAGGGUUCCUGUCCAACGUUAAUCGGGGCAGGGUGAGUCGACCCCUAAGGCGAGGCCGAAAGGCGUAGUCGAUGGGAAACGGGUUAAUAUUCCCGUACUUGGUGUUACUGCGAAGGGGGGACGGAGAAGGCUAUGUUGGCCGGGCGACGGUUGUCCCGGUUUAAGCGUGUAGGUGUGUGUUCCAGGUAAAUCCGGUUCACUUUAACACUGAGGCGUGACGACGAGGCACUACGGUGCUGAAGCAACAAAUGCCCUGCUUCCAGGAAAAGCCUCUAAGCAUCAGGUAACAUCAAAUCGUACCCCAAACCGACACAGGUGGUCAGGUAGAGAAUACCAAG
This 669-nucleotide ribosomal RNA is filed under the name Salmonella enterica subsp. enterica serovar Corvallis. RNAcentral's name for it is "partial 23S ribosomal RNA". It matches the Rfam family "Bacterial large subunit ribosomal RNA", at positions 1098 to 1685 of the family's 2925-position model. Lineage: Bacteria; Pseudomonadati; Pseudomonadota; Gammaproteobacteria; Enterobacterales; Enterobacteriaceae. The record is from RNAcentral.